RNAcentral lists this small nuclear RNA (142 nucleotides) under Pongo abelii (Sumatran orangutan). It matches the Rfam family "U2 spliceosomal RNA", at positions 27 to 183 of the family's 192-position model. Rfam says of the family: U2 is a small nuclear RNA (snRNA) component of the spliceosome (involved in pre-mRNA splicing). Complementary binding between U2 snRNA (in an area lying towards the 5' end but 3' to hairpin I) and the branchpoint sequence (BPS) of the intron results the bulging out of an unpaired adenosine, on the BPS, which initiates a nucleophilic attack at the intronic 5' splice site, thus starting the first of two transesterification reactions that mediate splicing. The record is from RNAcentral. Lineage: Eukaryota; Metazoa; Chordata; Mammalia; Primates; Hominidae.
AUGUAGUGUCUUUUCUCAGCAGUUUAACAUGUUCUAUUCAAGGACAACCUAUUAAAUGGAUUUUUGGAACAGGGAGAUGGAGUAGAGCUUGUUCUGUCCACUCCAUGCAUUGACUUGGUAGUGCAAGACCUCCAGGAAUGGU